RNAcentral lists this ribosomal RNA (271 nucleotides) under uncultured bacterium. Its description in RNAcentral is "partial 16S ribosomal RNA". It matches the Rfam family "Bacterial small subunit ribosomal RNA", at positions 524 to 794 of the family's 1533-position model. The record is from RNAcentral.
AACGUAGGAGACGAGCGUUAUCCGGAUUUACUGGGCGUAAAGCGCGUGCAGGCGGCACGGAAAGUUGGAUGUGAAAGCUCCCGGCUUAACUGGGAGAGGUCGUUCAAAACUACCGAGCUAGAGUAUGGGAGAGGGAAGCGGAAUUCCGGGUGUAGUGGUGAAAUGCGUAGAUAUCCGGAGGAACACCAGUGGCGAAAGCGGCUUCCUGGCCCGAGACUGACGCUCAGACGCGAAAGCUAGGGUAGCAAACGGGAUUAGAUACCCUGGUAGU